UAGACGGAUCUUCGGCCGGGUUGGGCUGAUGNUANYAAGUUGCUGUUUAAACUCGGCUGAUGUAGUGAUACGUUAUUCGGCGUCUAUAAUACCUUUGUUGGGGGGAGUUUGUUUGGUUUAGCUCCGUGGUUUUGAGGUCAGGGAGCUGUCAAUAUCCUGGUUUAGUCAUAUGCGCAAACUGGGGUUAGGGUUACCCCCGUUUAUUGAGUGUGUCAGUAUUCUUGUGUUUGGUGCUUUGAUUUGGUGAAACACCCCGGUCAUUAAAUGCGCGCGUGUGUUUAUGGUAUAAUUAGUAAUUAAAUUAGGGGCAUUCUAUCUCGGGCCCGGCCCGACUGUUUAUUAAAAACAUUUCCUCGCGUAGUUUGUGAGGUGCAACCUGCCCGGUGAGUUUAACGGCCGCAGUAUAUUAACUGUGCGAAGGUAGCAUAAUUAAUUGCCCCGUAAUUGGGGGCUUGUUUGAAUGGUUUAACGUGGUUGGUAGCCAAGAUUGCCCCUUUUAUUGAAUUUAAUUUCACGAGUACAGAAUCUGUGUUAUUUUAGUUAGACGGAAAGACCCCGGGAUCUUUUAUUUUGUCUGGGGCGGAUGUGGGUGUUUCACCCACUUUAUGACCCUUAGUUUAGAGGUUUAAGUUACCCCGGGGAUAACAGAGUAAUAGUUUAUUAGAGGUCCUAUCGACUAGACUGUUUGCUACCUCGAUGUUGACUUGGGUUAUUUUACUGGCG
RNAcentral lists this ribosomal RNA (723 nucleotides) under Promonobothrium hunteri. RNAcentral's name for it is "partial large subunit ribosomal RNA". The record is from RNAcentral. Lineage: Eukaryota; Metazoa; Platyhelminthes; Cestoda; Caryophyllidea; Caryophyllaeidae.